UCAAACUUGGUCAUUUAGAGGAAGUAAAAGUCGUAACAAGGUCUCCGUUGGUGAACCAGCGGAGGGAUCAUUACAAGAAUCCAAAAUCUCUAUAACCCGUGCCAUUUCUACCUCUGUUGCUUUGGUAGGCGGCCCCAGGGCGGGGCCUAUACCCUAACAAGGUGCCUACCAAAGACCCUAAAACUAUAUUUUAAUGGUGGUAUCUGAGUCCGCGAGAAUAAAUCAAAACUUUCAGCAACGGAUCUCUUGGUUCUGGCAUCGAUGAAGAACGCAGC
Molecule: unclassified non-coding RNA, 275 nt
Filed under: uncultured fungus
Lineage: Eukaryota; Fungi
Description: partial contains small subunit ribosomal RNA, internal transcribed spacer 1, and 5.8S ribosomal RNA
Rfam family: Eukaryotic small subunit ribosomal RNA (bases 1-73)
Source: RNAcentral